UGAAUGAAAGCAAAAUAGAAAAACUCAGCAGCCCCCAUCUAACUCUCUCCCUUGCGCGCGUCAUCACACCCACUCUCCCCCAGCAGAUCGCGUCGUCCGCUCGUUGCCGCCGGCAAGCUUCUGUAUUUUCUUCUCCCUUUAUUUCCUUGAUUCUCACGGUUUUCUUCAACUACACACCACCACUGUCGUCCUCAGCUGUUGCCUCCCUUGGAUUCGUGGUUGAGGGUUGAUUUAAAGAUUUUCGAGGUGUUGUUCAAGGUGAUUAAGGUUGUUUUAGCAACUUCUUGGCAAUCCAAAUGCACUCGAAGUUGGUCCAAUGCCGAGGGAUCAUGAAAAAUCCUAAUCCACCUUCGCCCAAUAUAUGGCUUCCUCGUGGUUAGAGCUAUAUGACAAUUAUUAUACUUGGCUCCAAAUAGCCUCUUGGUCUUCAUGGCUGUUAGGCCCUACGCUAGUCAUGUCUACCAGUGAGCUCAUUUGCUCCAACAAUGUCGUGGCUCCUUUUGGCGAUGGAAUCACAAUCAGUGUAUGAAUGAUUCUCUGUGUGUAUUUAUCUUGCCUUCGGGAAGUGGUCAAGAAUUUGAUUUUCUUGCCUCACUUUAUAUUCUUCUCUGUUCUUCAAUUUUGAGUUGUAAUUCCAAUGCUUUGUUCGGUACGAGCUGGCAAAGCUGGUCCUAAUUGGUUGGAUCGUCUGCGUUCCAACAAGGGUUUUCCAAUCACUGAUAAUCUCGAACUUGAUCACUUCCUUACUGACCAAAACCUUGAUAAUCCGUGUUCACUUUCGGACUCUAACCCCCAUUCCACUCGGGCUGACCCCCGCUCUGACGCUAAUCUCAAUUCUCAUCAUCAGGACAAUUCUUCCUCCAACUCUCCCAUUGAAAAUGGAAACCCAUCUUCAUUUGGAAUCAUUACCGACAUCCUCUCUGACCUCUUCAACAUGGGUGGUGCCUCUCGUAAUUCCAAAUGUUUCAGCAAAAAGUACCCUAGGAAACAGUCUAACCCCAAGAUUUACUCCAUUCCUUCUGUUACUAAUGGGGACUAUGCAGAUGCAAAGAAUUUGUGUUGUCUGCAGAAAGAAGAUAACAUCCUCUCAUCAAACUCUGAUAAUAGCUCAAAAGGCUGCAUCGAUUCUGGGUCGGAUAUGGCACAAAAUGUAUGCCUGAAGGUUGUAGAGGAAGAGGUGUGGGAUGAGAAGUGCGAGAAGGAACUUAAAGGAUACUCGAAAAGUGAGGUUACGGUCAUAGAUACUAGCGACGACGUGUGGAAGUCUGACAAACUAAUUUUCAGAAGGAAAAGUGUAUGGAAGGUCAAGGACAAGAAGUGUAAGUUGAGGAGCUAUGGAAGGAAGAAGAGAAAGCAGUCCUCUGAAACGAAUGACCUUCCUGAUAGGAUUGUUUCCGCUAGUAAGAAAACCAAAGUUUGGGGUUCAGAGGAGCGCUUUCAUUUGAACAGACAACAAAUACAUGGAAAGGAAUCUCUCAAACCAUUGAAUAAAGUACAUAAUUUUCAGCAUUGUUAUGGCCCUGAAAGUAGAUUAACUGCACCGGAUAGUAGUAAUGAAAAGAAGGAAAAUGGUUCCACGCUCUCCCAAAAAAAUGGCGGCUAUGACCCCAAAAGAAAAUGAUCACCCAAGGGUUUAGUAAGAGAAGCAUUUUUUUUUGAUAGCGCAUACAACAUUUGCUGGACGGGAAAUUGAAUUAGCUUAUGAUUCAAAGCAUGAACGUCGGUAGUGCUGUAGCAAUGGAGGAUCCAAUGAGAAUACAUAGUUAGAAACUUGUUACCGGUAUCCAUAGGUUGUAUAUGACUUCUUUUUUAAUCACCUUAGAUGCAUCUUGUACAUUUCUUUUGUAACUAUGAGUGACUAGCAUUACUUUCAAACAACUUAUGUUAUUCUUUCAAUUCAUGGUGGUCGAUCAUUUGAAACUUCAA
Cucumis sativus (cucumber) is the source of this 1926-nucleotide RNA transcript. RefSeq lists it as uncharacterized. The transcript has 8 exons. The record is from RefSeq and is a predicted model, not a curated record. Lineage: Eukaryota; Viridiplantae; Streptophyta; Magnoliopsida; Cucurbitales; Cucurbitaceae.